Macaca mulatta (Rhesus monkey) is the source of this 791-nucleotide non-coding RNA. NCBI's taxonomy places the organism in Eukaryota, Metazoa, Chordata, Mammalia, Primates, Cercopithecidae. The record is from RefSeq and is a predicted model, not a curated record.
CCCCAGGCCCACAGGGCAAGCUGCGCCCGUUUUCUUUCCAGAGUCCCCUGCCCUCCAGCGAGCUGAGUUGAGCCCCAGCUGGACUCCAAGUCGAACCUCCACAGCCAGGUGUCCGCCAGAUGUCUUCCAAGGCCAGCAAGGGAACUGCCUGGGCACGCGUCAGUCUGGCCUGUUUCCUGAUCCAGAAAAUUAUUUUCAGCUGCGCGUGACCUUCCACGGGGCCAGGACUGGAAAACUAGACAGCGGUGAUCUUUUUAAGACCGUGGAAUCUAUGAACUAGGUGGUCACAUCCUAGAAGUGGAGGAAGCUGGGGCCUCGCGCAGCAGACUGACCAGACCCUCACUGAGGGCCCAAGGCUGAGACUGGGUCAUGGACAGUGGAGUCCUGGCGGUUCCCAACAAGACAGAGACGAGGAUCAGCCCCUGAGGCCACCGCCCACUGUCAGCAACCCUGGGUUCCUCUCCUGACCCAGUGGAAGGCACAGCCACGCCUGCUCCUCUGGGGAAAACGGGCCCACACCACAGCCAUGGUUCUGCUGGAGAAGCUGAGAAGCCACUUGGGGCUCCUUCUGGUCUCUUAGGCUGGGGAUGCCUCUUGGGACUGGCUGGGUGGGGAGGUUUGGGUGUACCUUGUAGGGGUGGCGUGGGGACUGCAACACCCAGGAGGAGGCUCAGGGGCUCUAUGGGGGGAGGCUGCUGUGAUGAGCUGCCUGGCGUCUGAUGGGCUUAGCCCAGGCUGGGCGGUGGGUGGCCUCACGUGGCUGUGGUGUGCUGAAGCUGAAACUACAAGGC